AAAAUGGGAAAAAGAUGAAAAUGAAUUUCCUAAACCUCCAAUUUUUAUGAACCGUAUGAAAUCUUGCCACCAUCCAUCAUCUACACAUAUCUCACAGCUGAGCAAUGAAAAUGAGGAAAUGAAAUCAACUUACAAUGAUGACAAUAUCUGGUGUUUCAGUGAGUUUUCCCCUAGUGUCUUCACCUAUCACGACCCAGGAGACGUGGAACUGGAUCUUACUUUCAUAGCUGAUAUAAAUGUGCAAAAAGCUUUAGACUGGCUCAAAAAGAACGUCGAGCCUGCUGUAUUAGCCAUUGAGUACUGGACAGUGACAGCUCAAGAGAGAUUGGCUGAACUGAUGGUUUUAAAAUCAAUUGCAACGCAAGAGUACCUGGUUUUGUACCCACCAUUAAAAAAUCCUGCCAUUGGUAUCCAGCUGCGCUUGUUCAAGGUUUCCACUGAUUUCAAUCACUUGUACGCCACCAAAGCAAACGUAUUCUUGAACGACUGGAGCCCCAUUGCUCAACAAAUUUUGGAUUUGCUCCGACUGAAGAGAGGCAGUAGAUGGCAAGAAAAUAUAGCGUUAGCAGGGAUAAAUAUUUAUGCAACAGACCCUGAAGAAAUAAAGCUAUCUGCUCUGCUUUUGCUGCCCUAUUUUUUCCCAACACCUGGCGAUGUAACUUCAGCAGGAAUAAAAAUCUCUCGUGGGUUCCAUCAAAAUUAGAAUGUGCCAAAGGUUUUAUUCUCAUCACACCUACACUAACCUUACUUGAAGUAGAAAUCAAGAAGCGACAAACGUUUUUUCAAAGUAAGAAAUUGGUACUUCCACCAUUUGUAGCACUGGUCGGACGUGUAGGUAAUUUUGAAGAAUCAAUUGUUGUCAUUGAUAGCAUAAAAUAUUACUUUGAUUCCCCAAUUUCUGCCUUUGACUGGUGUUUUAAAGCACAUUUUGCACUGUAUUACACUUACUCUCCUGAGACUCGUGCUCCUUAUACUUUUAUACAAAAGUAUGUUUAUAAAAUUAAUACUAAACGUGACAGGAAUUACAUUCAAGUAACCUCUUUAGCCAAGCAGCUCAAUCUUUCCUCCAUUUAAUUUUUGCUCAAUUAAUUAGCCUCCAGUUUCUUUUCAAUGUUAUAAUCAUGCCUUCGUGCCCUGAUUGUAAACAAAAUUUCGAACCCAUCAACUCUCUGAUAAAUCAUAUCAACAGUUCCAUUUUAGAUCUGCUUAUGCCGAUCCAAUAAAUUGUGGGGACUGCGGGAAACCAUUCUCUGCAUAUCCUAAUCUUCGUAAGCAUCUUAAAACCUGUCGCAUAAAGGUACAACUUGAAGACCCUAAUCCUUUGCUAAGUGACGCUGUGCAUAAUGCUACCGCGGACGUAGUUGUAUCUCCAAUUGUUGAAAAUAAUCAGUUAAACGCACAAAAUGAUGGAAGUUCAAGAAUAGGAGAUAGUUCCAAAGGCACAACUGCUGAUCCUAUUCAAAUGCUGAAUAAAGAGUGUGCAAACUUCAUUGCAUACUUAUAUUCUCAUGUGUCUUUGCAAAGAAAAAUGAUACAAACGGUAGUUGAAGGUGUUUCAGAAAUUUUUAGCGCUGUAAGAGACAUUUUAGUAGAAAAACUGGAAGAACACUUGACUGAUCAAUCAAUGACAGAUUUAAUGCCUUUUUUGUCCGAAUUAUGUGAUCCAUUUGCCUCUUUAAAGACAGACUUCCUCAGAUUACAACACUUUGAAAAUUUAGGCACGUAUGUAAAACCUCAGAAAUUGAGCUUGGAGAACGAUCGGUACGGAAAAAAAUUAAAAAUAAAGUGCGAAUCAUAUCUAUACCCGUGAAAGCUCAGUAUAUUUCACCGAAAGUAUUCUUUAAGAAAUUUUUUGAUCAGUCUGAUGUUCUCCAGAAAACACUUGAUUUUGAGGGCAGAAUGCUGGCAGAAAGUUCUGUUUUGUCAAAUUUUCUACAAGGUAAACAGUGGCAAGAGUUUUUAAAAGCUGAUAAAAUAAAGGGAAAAAUUUCUUCCUUUCUUCCUCUAUAUGGAUGAAUUGGAAACAGGAAACGCUCUAGGGUCACAUUCAGGAGUUCACAAGUUGGGGUGUGUUUACAUAUAUAUGCCAUGCAUUCCACCAGAAUUUCGUUCCACUUUGAAAUGUAUCUUCUUAUGUAUGUUAUUCCAUGCUAACGACAGAAAGCAAUUUGGAAAUGAAAAGUUGUUCAAAACUUAAUUGAGGAUUUUAACAGUUUAUCAAGAGAGGGUCUUAUUUUUGAAAAUAAAGCUUACUCCGGGAAAAUUUACUUCCAGCUUGCCAUGCUUACAGGGGACAUUUGGGCAUUCACCAAAUAACCGGGUUUACAGAGUCAUUUUCUGCAAAUCACCCAUGCUCAGUUUGUUCAAUUCAUAAAAAAGAUUUACAUUUGCAAACUGUUGAAGAUGAAAAACUAAUUCGAACGAGAGAAUCCUACGACAAAGAUCUCCAAAAAAAUGACUUAUCAGAAACUGGUAUUAGGGAAAAAUGCAUUUGGCAUGAAGUAGAUGGUUUUUGCAUAACUACUUCCCUGGGUUCGGACUGGAUGCACGAUAUUUUGUUAGGUACGGCUCAUUACGAUUUCUCUGUUAUACUCUAUAACUUGAUUUACGUCGAAAAGUACUUUGAUGUUCAGGAUUUCAACUUAAUUUUACAGAACUUUAAAUACGGCCCGGAUGAAAAUAAACCUCCCCCUCAACUCGAAAAAAAUUUGCAUGAUAAGAAAGGUCUUCGAAUGACAGCAGCCGAGACAUUAACACUUAUUAAAUAUUUGGUGUUAUGUUUUCUAGUUUUAUAAAGGACCCAAAUAAUGAAACUUGGCAACUUUAUUUAUCUUUAAGAGCGAUUGUUUCUAUACUAAUGUCUCCCUCCGUGCAAAAAGGUUGUGCAGAGUUACUGAAAAGUUAUGUAAAAGUCAUAACGAUUUAUACAUGAAAUGCUCUAACCAGUUGCUAAAAAAUAAGUUUCAUCAUUUAGUACAUUAUCCCAGGUUCCUUAUUUUGUUUGCCAAUAUGUGUGAUCUGUAUGUUAUGCGCCAAGAAGGCAAACAUCAAGUCACGAAAUUUAUUACUUCCUCUGUCCGCACGCGUAAAAACAUUUGUAAAACUGGAACCAUCAGACACCAAUUGCUAUUCAGCUGGCUUUUGAUGUCGAACAGUUUUUUUUCCGAGAACCUAGAGUUCGGUGCAGGUAAAAUUUUUAGGAUUGAGCAAUACAUAAAUUAUAAUGCACUGAAUGUACCCAAUGAGAAAAAAAUUUUCCUGAAUGUCCAGUAUUCAAAAUUUUUGGCACCAAGUAUAGGCGUAACGAUGUUGUUUAUUAUGAUUUUAAAGAAACUCGUCCAAAAUUUGCUUUGAUCGAGAAAAUUCUCAUUUUUAACCAAACUUCUGUGCAUUUUAUUGCCAAAAAAUUGAGAACGGCUUAUUAUGAUGAUCACUCUGCUGCUUUUUGUGUUGAGAAAAAAAAAUCAGAAAUAUUCUUAAAUCAAUGUGAUUUAAUUAUGCCCAAACCUCUACCACUCCUCACCGGCAAUGAUGGUCUAACUUAUGUUGCAAGUUUUGGUAUUCUUGAGUAAAAUCUUUAGUUCAUAAGCACAGAUGAUUCUCUCUUUGUCUACUCCUGUGUUUUAUGCAAGUGAAAGUUUUAUUAUGAAUCUUCAUUUCUAAGUAAUGAGAUUUUUGUAAAUUCCGAUUGCGAAAAAUGUUCAAUUUAUUUAAGUAUUUCUAAUUAUUCUCCAUAUUAAUUCAAUUUAAUCUAAUCAAGUAUCGAUAAUACAUUUUUUUCCACGAAAUAGUUUGUUAUUUACUUUUGGUGUAAACCCUAUGUUUUUCUCCUCUAUUUUUCAUCAUAAUAAACAUGAUGAAGAAUUUCCAAAUGAAGGAAGAUACAGUUACUCAGGAUUAAUGACUUUCAGACACUCGCUUGCAUUGAAACAUUAUUUACUUUGAAGUCUUUUCCUGUUUUUCUAUAAAAAGAACGAAAAUUAGCAUUAUUUAUCUAACUGUUUGUCGAUUUUCUUCCUUGUUUAUAGAAAACUUGCCAGUUAUUUCAAUAAUUAAUAUGUUUUUCUCUCCUUUUGAAAAAAUGCAAUUUUGCAUCGUUGUAAUGUAACUUUCUGUCAUUUAUCUCAAGUCAUUACAACAUAUCUAAAAAGUGAUACCAUUUUCACAAAUUUUUCUCAGUUGCGAAAAAAAUUGAAAAUAGAUUAGUAAUCUCUCCAACAUAAAAUACAUGUUGUAUUAAUUUCGUUAGACAACCCACCAGUUUUACGCAAUCUAAAGGUUCGAGUUUUUCUGUUUCAAAUAUCACAAGCAAUAUUUUCAUUUUAAUACUAAAACUUCGUAAAAAUUACCUUAAAAAGAAUGUAUUCUAUUGUUUGUCAAACUUUACAUGUCUGCGGGUAGA
RNAcentral lists this long non-coding RNA (4402 nucleotides) under Bemisia tabaci. Its description in RNAcentral is "lncRNA ENSSSA3NGG003307". The record is from RNAcentral. Lineage: Eukaryota; Metazoa; Arthropoda; Insecta; Hemiptera; Aleyrodidae.